RNAcentral lists this ribosomal RNA (429 nucleotides) under uncultured Sphingomonas sp. Its description in RNAcentral is "bacterial SSU rRNA". It matches the Rfam family "Bacterial small subunit ribosomal RNA", at positions 49 to 524 of the family's 1533-position model. The record is from RNAcentral. Lineage: Bacteria; Pseudomonadati; Pseudomonadota; Alphaproteobacteria; Sphingomonadales; Sphingomonadaceae.
UAACACAUGCAAGUCGAACGAAGGCUUCGGGCUUAGUGGCGCACGGGUGCGUAACGCGUGGGAAUCUGCCCUUGGGUUCGGAAUAACAGUUAGAAAUUACUGCUAAUACCGGAUGAUGACGUAAGUCCAAAGAUUUAUCGCCGAAGGAUGAGCCCGCGUAGGAUUAGGUAGUUGGUGAGGUAAAGGCUCACCAAGCCGACGAUCCUUAGCUGGUCUGAGAGGAUGAUCAGCCACACUGGGACUGAGACACGGCCCAGACUCCUACGGGAGGCAGCAGUGGGGAAUAUUGGACAAUGGGCGAAAGCCUGAUCCAGCAAUGCCGCGUGAGUGAUGAAGGCCUUAGGGUUGUAAAGCUCUUUUACCCGGGAUGAUAAUGACAGUACCGGGAGAAUAAGCCCCGGCUAACUCCGUGCCAGCAGCCGCGGUAAU